Molecule: ribosomal RNA, 500 nt
Filed under: uncultured bacterium
Lineage: Bacteria
Description: bacterial SSU rRNA
Rfam family: Bacterial small subunit ribosomal RNA
Source: RNAcentral
GAGUUUGAUCAUGGCUCAGGACGAACGCUGGCGGCGUGCCUAACACAUGCAAGUCGAGCGAGGAAGCCCCUUCGGGGGUGGAAUAGCGGCGGACGGGUGAGUAACACGUGGGUAACCUGCCUCAAAGAGGGGGAUAGCCUCCCGAAAGGGAGAUUAAUACCGCAUAGAAGGUAAAAAUCGCAUGAUAAAUACCUUAAAGGAGCAAUCCGCUUUGAGAUGGGCCCGCGUCGCAUUAGCUAGUUGGAGGGAUAAAAGCCCCCCAAGGCGACGAUGCGUAGCCGACCUGAGAGGGUGAACGGCCACAUUGGAACUGAGAUACGGUCCAGACUCCUACGGGAGGCAGCAGUGGGGAAUAUUGCACAAUGGGGGAAACCCUGAUGCAGCAACGCCGCGUGAGUGAAGAAGGUUUUCGGAUCGUAAAGCCCUGUCAUCCGGGACGAUAAUGACGGUACCGGAAGAGGAAGCCACGGCUAACUACGUGCCAGCAGCCGCGGUAAUAC